This 301-nucleotide ribosomal RNA is filed under the name uncultured bacterium. RNAcentral's name for it is "partial 16S ribosomal RNA". It matches the Rfam family "Bacterial small subunit ribosomal RNA", at positions 509 to 807 of the family's 1533-position model. The record is from RNAcentral.
CAGUAGCCGCGGGAAUACAGAGGGUGCAAGCGUUAAUCGGAAUUACUGGGCGUAAAGCGCGCGUAGGUGGUUUGUUAAGUUGGAUGUGAAAGCCACGGGCUCAACCUGGGAACUGCAUCCAAAACUGGCAAGCUAGAGUACGGUAGAGGGUGGUGGAAUUUCCUGUGUAGCGGUGAAAUGCGUAGAUAUAGGAAGGAACACCAGUGGCGAAGGCGACCACCUGGACUGAUACUGACACUGAGGUGCGAAAGCGUGGGGAGCAAACAGGAUUAGAUACCCGAGUAGUCCCUGUCUCUUAUAC